CCUACGGGAGGCAGCAGUGGGGAAUAUUGGACAAUGGGGGCAUCCCUGAUCCAGCCAUGCCGCGUGUGUGAAGAAGGCCCUCGGGUUGUAAAGCACUUUCAGUGAGGAAGAACGCCUGGUGGUUAAUACCCAUCAGGAAAGACAUCACUCACAGAAGAAGCACCGGCUAACUCCGUGCCAGCAGCCGCGGUAAUACGGAGGGUGCGAGCGUUAAUCGGAAUUACUGGGCGUAAAGCGCGCGUAGGUGGCUUGAUAAGCCGGUUGUGAAAGCCCCGGGCUCAACCUGGGAACGGCAUCCGGAACUGUCAAGCUAGAGUGCAGGAGAGGAAGGUAGAAUUCCCGGUGUAGCGGUGAAAUGCGUAGAGAUCGGGCGGAAUACCAGUGGCGAAGGCGGCCUUCUGGACUGACACUGACACUGAGGUGCGAAAGCGUGGGUAGCAAACAGGAUUAGAUACCCUAGUAGUC
This 465-nucleotide ribosomal RNA is filed under the name Vreelandella stevensii. Its description in RNAcentral is "partial 16S ribosomal RNA". It matches the Rfam family "Bacterial small subunit ribosomal RNA", at positions 338 to 795 of the family's 1533-position model. The record is from RNAcentral. Lineage: Bacteria; Pseudomonadati; Pseudomonadota; Gammaproteobacteria; Oceanospirillales; Halomonadaceae.